UUACCCCUACGGGAGGCAGCAGUGAGGAAUAUUGGUCAAUGGCCGAGAGGCUGAACCAGCCAAGUCGCGUGAGGGAUGACGGCCCUACGGGUUGUAAACCUCUUUUGUCGGGGAGCAAGACCCGCCUCGUGCAGGCGGAGCGAGAGUACCCGAAGAAAAAGCAUCGGCUAAUUCCGUGCCAGCAGCCGCGGGAAUACGGAGGAUGCGAGCGUUAUCCGGAUUUAUUGGGGUUAAAGGGUGCGCAGGCGGACCAUCAAGUCAGCGGUAAAAUCGUGGGGCCCAACCCCAUACCGCCGUUGAAACUG
RNAcentral lists this ribosomal RNA (305 nucleotides) under uncultured bacterium. RNAcentral describes it as "bacterial SSU rRNA". It matches the Rfam family "Bacterial small subunit ribosomal RNA", at positions 333 to 635 of the family's 1533-position model. The record is from RNAcentral.